RNAcentral lists this long non-coding RNA (615 nucleotides) under Setaria viridis. RNAcentral's name for it is "long non-coding RNA (SVIR_LNC007136)". Lineage: Eukaryota; Viridiplantae; Streptophyta; Magnoliopsida; Poales; Poaceae. The record is from RNAcentral.
GAAUAAUAAGGUUGACGGGUGGGUCUUGGUAAUAUGUGUUGGAUUUGGUGGAUGCCCCGUCUGUUUAGAGGAAAAUUACUAAGGUCGAAAUAUUUUAGAGUUGUGGUCAAGUGUUUGAAAGUACUAAACACAUACCGAGUAUGGGAUCGGGAAGCCUAGUACCUAAUUGAACUUGAAUGUGGACAUACUCCCCGCUCUCUUUGGAACCGAGUUCCGUUGAUGCAUCAUGUGGGUACAAGUGCAGCAUCGGUAUGGCGUCAUUCUAGGACCGGUGGGGCCUUGUAUCCAAGGGAAGUGGGACCUGGACAUGUGCUAGGGCUUGAUGGGGACGGUUGAUAUAUGUGAACUGUUGGGGUACGUAUAUGUCGUGUGUUUAGGUCCACCUAGCAAGGUUAAGAAAUUUGAUUUGAAUCAUCUGCUUCUCACAGUUUGGGACUACUUGGUCGCCUUUCUACACUAAGUAAGAAGAGGAACAAAGGUUGGUGAUUAAUAUGGAUGCUUGAUUAAUUUGCUUGUUUCACCAUGCUUGCUUAGAAUAGGUGCUUACCUAGAAUGGUUAAUCAACUAGGACUUGAUGCUAAAACUUGAAAGUAAGGAUCCACUUUAGAAGCUUUU